This 387-nucleotide ribosomal RNA is filed under the name Brevundimonas sp. RNAcentral's name for it is "bacterial SSU rRNA". It matches the Rfam family "Bacterial small subunit ribosomal RNA", at positions 63 to 496 of the family's 1533-position model. Lineage: Bacteria; Pseudomonadati; Pseudomonadota; Alphaproteobacteria; Caulobacterales; Caulobacteraceae. The record is from RNAcentral.
CGAACGAACUCUUCGGAGUUAGUGGCGGACGGGUGAGUAACACGUGGGAACGUGCCUUUAGGUUCGGAAUAACUCAGGGAAACUUGUGCUAAUACCGAAUGUGCCCUUCGGGGGAAAGAUUUAUCGCCUUUAGAGCGGCCCGCGUCUGAUUAGCUAGUUGGUGAGGUAAAGGCUCACCAAGGCGACGAUCAGUAGCUGGUCUGAGAGGAUGAUCAGCCACAUUGGGACUGAGACACGGCCCAAACUCCUACGGGAGGCAGCAGUGGGGAAUCUUGCGCAAUGGGCGAAAGCCUGACGCAGCCAUGCCGCGUGAAUGAUGAAGGUCUUAGGAUUGUAAAAUUCUUUCACCGGGGACGAUAAUGACGGUACCCGGAGAAGAAGCCCCGG